AUAUAUGCGAUGAGCCGAUAAGUAGAAGUUCUUGCGUACCGUAGGAUACAGAAAAGAAAUCAGUGGUUGAGAGAUUUCUCCUAGACAGGACUUUGAAGUAGACGGUGAGCAUUUAGAGUGAAAGUAAGUAGCUUUAAACGUGGUUAGAGCGUUAAUCUUAUUAAGUGCUAAUUUAUAUAAUUAGAAUAAAGGUGGUACCACGGAAACUUUCGUCCUUAUG
RNAcentral lists this non-coding RNA (220 nucleotides) under Gemella haemolysans. Its description in RNAcentral is "T-box sequence". It matches the Rfam family "T-box leader". From Rfam's summary of the family: Uncharged tRNA acts as the effector for transcription antitermination of genes in the T-box leader family. T-boxes are found upstream of many aminoacyl-tRNA synthetase genes and some amino acid biosynthetic genes usually in Gram-positive bacteria. The anticodon of a specific tRNA base pairs to a specifier sequence within the T-box motif, and the NCCA acceptor tail of the tRNA base pairs to a conserved bulge in the T-box antiterminator hairpin. Lineage: Bacteria; Bacillati; Bacillota; Bacilli; Caryophanales; Gemellaceae. The record is from RNAcentral.